CAUCUUGACAUUCCACAAAACAUCACACAGGCCCACCACGCUGAUGACAGUAUGCUGAUCAGCUGAAGUGAUCGAUCCCAAUUAGCUGGGUAAAUUGGGCUGCUGCUGUACAACAGAGGCACACAGGACUCUGUCUGGGAGCCAGGGGGCUUCACUGAAUCUUCUCUUAGUACUACAUGGCCAACAGUAAAGAUUAAUGGAAAAGUACAUAGCAACAACAACAACAACAACAACAACAAAAAGGCAAGACAACCGGGCCUUUUGAGAAUGAAGAUCUGGGUCACUAUACCAGUCUUUAGGUAACAGAACGUUCCAUGGGACGAUGACUAAAUUUGAAGAUUUAGCCAGCGGUGGAUACAAGAACUCUUGGGAGUCUGUGUCUUCUCUUGAGGGAAAGCACAGAUCCUCAUGGAAUUCUCUCGAGGGGAAUCCAAGGACGGAGGCCGCCAUCGGCACAACACAGCCUCUCCUACCGGUAACACUGCGACCUUUGGCUCUUGUGAUUCAUGCCGCUACGAACGUCUACCCAGAAGCGUAAUUGCUAGAUCGCAUGGCUGUCUCUGUGCUGAGGACCAGCCUGAAAUGUAAACUUCGGGUCUUCUCGGAGAUCUUUUCCAAGCCUUUCCCUGGGCAAGUACAAUCACUUUCUGAUUU
Felis catus (domestic cat) is the source of this 654-nucleotide long non-coding RNA. RefSeq lists it as uncharacterized. Lineage: Eukaryota; Metazoa; Chordata; Mammalia; Carnivora; Felidae. The record is from RefSeq and is a predicted model, not a curated record. The transcript has 4 exons.